RNAcentral lists this ribosomal RNA (400 nucleotides) under uncultured bacterium. RNAcentral describes it as "bacterial SSU rRNA". It matches the Rfam family "Bacterial small subunit ribosomal RNA", at positions 356 to 773 of the family's 1533-position model. The record is from RNAcentral.
GGGGAAUAUUGCACAAUGGGGGAAACCCUGAUGCAGCGACGCCGCGUGAGUGAAGAAGUAUUUCGGUAUGUAAAGCUCUAUCAGCAAGGAAGAUAAUGACGGUACUUGACUAAGAAGCCCCGGCUAACUACGUGCCAGCAGCCGCGGUAAUACGUAGGGGGCAAGCGUUAUCCGGAUUUACUGGGUGUAAAGGGAGCGUAGGUGGCAUGGCAAGUCAGAUGUGAAAGCCCAGGGCUCAACCCUGGGACUGCAUUUGAAACUGUCAAGCUAGAGUGCAGGAGAGGUAAGUGGAAUUCCUAGUGUAGCGGUGAAAUGCGUAGAUAUUAGGAGGAACACCAGUGGCGAAGGCGGCUUACUGGACUGUAACUGACACUGAGGCUCGAAAGCGUGGGGAGCAAAC